Molecule: long non-coding RNA, 1161 nt
Organism: Hemiscyllium ocellatum (epaulette shark)
Lineage: Eukaryota; Metazoa; Chordata; Chondrichthyes; Orectolobiformes; Hemiscylliidae
Exons: 7
Source: RefSeq, a predicted model, not a curated record
CUUGAUUAUACCACGUGAUCAUCCUCGCGGACAGCGCGGCUGUGCGGGCGGAGAGCAGUCGAUGUGACAAAGAUGAUUGAUGAAGGCAGAUUGUGGACGUUGUCUAUAUGGACACUGAACGAUGUUCCACAAAGCAGACUGGUUAGCAAGAUCCCAGUGAUUAAUGCCAAAGCCCUGUUGCCUGGGGAGAGGGUGAUGUUUGACUUUCUUGUACAGCUGCAGUUUGUGUGGUGAAGGUGUUCCCACAAUGUGGUUGGGAUAUUAAAUCAGAAUAAUUGAAGUUCGGAUCUCAAAGCAAGUUUUUACAGUCAAUGGAGUCAUCAGGAUCUGAAUAUCAUUGGCAUUUAACUGUGGAAGGAGAAAGGAUGAGGCUAUCACUGGCUCGGCCAGCAUUUAUUGCUGCGUUUACCCAGAGGGCAGUUAAGAAUCAACCACGUUGCUAUAGUUCUGGAGUCCCAUGCAGACCAGACCAGAUCCCAGUGAUCAGUGCCAAAGCCCCAUUGCCUGUGGAGAGGGUGAUGUUUGAUUUCCCUGUCCAGCUGCAGUUCAUGUGGUGAAGGUGCUCCCACAAUGUGGUUGGAUAACAAGACCGAUGCUGUUUCCAAUCAUGAUCAGAAACAAACCUCAGAAUACACAUGGUUCAUAGAUGGAUGUCAAUAGCCCAUCAACAUCCAACUCCUGCAAUUAUUCAGCAAAUGUAUGUGUGAUUAACCAGUCCUGAUGUCAGUCCUGAUGUACCAGAAAAUCGCUGUUUACUCUGUGCAGAUGGGCAGUGAUGUGGGGAAGUAUUGGCCGAGUGAUAUUGUCGCUGGACAGUUAGUCCAAAGCCCCAGAUAAACUUCUGGAGACCUGAGUUCAAAGCCUACUGCUGCAGAUGGGUGAAUUUGAAUUAAAUUUUUAAAAACUCGGGAAUUUAAGAGUCUCAUGAUGACCAUUAAUCGAUUUUCCGAAAAACCCAUCUGGAUCACUAAUGCCCUUUCAGGAAGGAAGCUGCCAUCCUUACCUGGUCUGGCCUACAUUGUGACUUCAGACCCACAACAAUGUGGUCGACUCUUACCUGCCCCCUGGGCAAUUAGGGAUGGGCAGGAAAUGCUGCCGGGCCAGCGACACCCUCAUCUUGUGAAUGAAUAAAGGAAAAUAAAAGUCUCUACCCAGUGUGAA